AGUGAAAUAACUGGGUCAUAUGGUGGUUCUAUUCCUGAUAUUUUGAGGAAAUCUCCAUACUGCUUCCCAAAGUAGUUGUACUAAUUUGAAGUCCCACCAACAAU
This 104-nucleotide microRNA precursor is filed under the name Marmota monax (woodchuck). The record is from RNAcentral. Lineage: Eukaryota; Metazoa; Chordata; Mammalia; Rodentia; Sciuridae.